RNAcentral lists this ribosomal RNA (521 nucleotides) under Humibacter sp. RNAcentral's name for it is "bacterial SSU rRNA". It matches the Rfam family "Bacterial small subunit ribosomal RNA", at positions 867 to 1387 of the family's 1533-position model. The record is from RNAcentral. Lineage: Bacteria; Bacillati; Actinomycetota; Actinomycetes; Micrococcales; Microbacteriaceae.
CCCCGCCUGGGGAGUACGGCCGCAAGGCUAAAACUCAAAGGAAUUGACGGGGGCCCGCACAAGCGGCGGAGCAUGCGGAUUAAUUCGAUGCAACGCGAAGAACCUUACCAAGGCUUGACAUGAGCGAGAACGCUACAGAAAUGUAGUUCUCUUUGGACACUCGUUUACAGGUGGUGCAUGGUUGUCGUCAGCUCGUGUCGUGAGAUGUUGGGUUAAGUCCCGCAACGAGCGCAACCCUCGUCCUAUGUUGCCAGCACGUUAUGGUGGGAACUCAUGGGAGACUGCCGGGGUCAACUCGGAGGAAGGUGGGGAUGACGUCAAAUCAUCAUGCCCCUUAUGUCUUGGGCUUCACGCAUGCUACAAUGGCCGGUACAAAGGGCUGCGAUACCGUAAGGUGGAGCGAAUCCCAAAAAGCCGGUCUCAGUUCGGAUUGGGGUCUGCAACUCGACCCCAUGAAGUUGGAGUCGCUAGUAAUCGUAGAUCAGCAACGCUACGGUGAAUACGUUCCCGGGCCUUGCACA